Molecule: transfer RNA, 73 nt
Filed under: Cordylochernes scorpioides
Lineage: Eukaryota; Metazoa; Arthropoda; Arachnida; Pseudoscorpiones; Chernetidae
Description: tRNA-Thr
Source: RNAcentral
AUCCAGGAAUGGGAAUCGAACCCACAGUGUUCCGCUUACUGGGCAGAUGCCGUGUCCCCUAGGCUACCCUGGA